RNAcentral lists this ribosomal RNA (835 nucleotides) under marine metagenome. RNAcentral's name for it is "bacterial SSU rRNA". It matches the Rfam family "Bacterial small subunit ribosomal RNA", at positions 496 to 1330 of the family's 1533-position model. The record is from RNAcentral.
GCUAACUUCGUGCCAGCAGCCGCGGUAAUACGAAGGGACCUAGCGUAAUUCGGAAUUACUGGGCGUAAAGCGCGCGUAGGCGGUUAAGUAAGUUAAUUGUGAAAGCCCAAAGCUCAACUUUGGAAUUGCAAUUAAAACUACUUAGCUAGAGUUUAUCAGAGGAAAGCGGAAUACAUAGUGUAGAGGUGAAAUUCGUAGAUAUUAUGUAGAACACCAGUUGCGAAGGCGGCUUUCUGGGGUAACACUGACGCUGAGGUGCGAAAGUAUGGGUAGCGAAGAGGAUUAGAUACCCUCGUAGUCCAUACUGUAAACGAUGAUUGUUAGAUGUUGGAAAUUUAUUUUCAGUAUCACAGCUAACGCGUUAAACAAUCCGCCUGGGGAGUACGACCGCAAGGUUAAAACUCAAAUGAAUUGACGGGGACCCGCACAAGCGGUGGAGCAUGUGGUUUAAUUCGAAGCUACGCGCAGAACCUUACCAACACUUGACAUGUCUGUCGCGGAUUCCAGAGAUGGAUUCCUUCGGUUCGGCCGGACAGAACACAGGUGCUGCAUGGCUGUCGUCAGCUCGUGUCGUGAGAUGUUGGGUUAAGUCCCGCAACGAGCGCAACCCCUACUUCUAGUUGCCAUCAGGUUAAGCUGGGCACUCUAGUAGGACUGCCUGUGAUAAGCAGGAGGAAGGUUGGGAUGACGUCAAGUCCUCAUGGCCCUUACGUGUUGGGCUACACACGUGCUACAAUGGCAGUGACAAUGAGAUGCUAAACGGCAACGUUAAGCUAAACUCAAAAACCUGCCUCAGUUCGGAUUGCACUCUGCAACUCGAGUGCAUGAAGCUGGA